RNAcentral lists this ribosomal RNA (297 nucleotides) under Triticum aestivum (bread wheat). Its description in RNAcentral is "partial small subunit ribosomal RNA". The record is from RNAcentral. Lineage: Eukaryota; Viridiplantae; Streptophyta; Magnoliopsida; Poales; Poaceae.
AUGGCAAAAAGCGGGCGCCUAGUCCUGCUGAAAUCCGGUCUCACCAUGCUGGCCAUUUAUAUGAUGAUGGUACACAAGCUGCCCGCCUGGGUCUUAAAACGCCUUACUCAGCUUUGUCGCUCCUGGCUCUGGAGUGGUGAGGACACCUGUAGCGGGGGAAAAUGCAGAGUAGGGUGGAACCAAAUAUGUCGCCCCAAGAAUCUUGGAGGACUAGGGGUGUUGGACUUGCGGAGGUUUGGAACGGCGCUGCGUUUAAGAUGGUUAUGGUUGGCUUGGCAGGAUACACCCCGCCCUUGG